RNAcentral lists this ribosomal RNA (422 nucleotides) under uncultured prokaryote. Its description in RNAcentral is "bacterial SSU rRNA". It matches the Rfam family "Bacterial small subunit ribosomal RNA", at positions 355 to 774 of the family's 1533-position model. The record is from RNAcentral.
UGAGGAAUAUUGGUCAAUGGGCGAGAGCCUGAACCAGCCAAGUCGCGUGAAGGAAGACGGCCCUACGGGUUGUAAACUUCUUUUAUAGGGGGAUAAAAAAGAGUACGUGUACUCUCUUGUAGGUACCCUACGAAUAAGGAUCGGCUAACUCCGUGCCAGCAGCCGCGGUAAUACGGAGGAUCCAAGCGUUAUCCGGAGUUAUUGGGUUUAAAGGGUGCGUAGGCGGGUUGUUAAGUCAGUGGUGAAAGGUUGACGCUCAACGUUAACAUUGCCAUUGAAACUGACAGUCUUGAGUACAAAUGAGGUAGGCGGAAUGUGUUGUGUAGCGGUGAAAUGCAUAGAUAUGACACAGAACACCAAUUGCGAAGGCAGCUUACUGGAAUGUAACUGACGCUGAGGCGCGAAAGCGUGGGGAUCAAACA